UACGUAGGGGGCAAGCGUUGUCCGGAAUUAUUGGGCGUAAAGCGCGUGUAGGCGGCUUUGCAAGUCGGGUGUGAAAGCCUCACGCUCAACUGAGGAAGUGCGCCCGAAACUGCAGAGCUUGAGUGCCGGAGAGGGUGGCGGAAUUCCCCAAGUAGAGGUGAAAUUCGUAGAUAUCGGGAGGAACACCAGUGGCGAAGGCGGCGAUCUGGGAAGAUACUGACGCUGAGGUGCGAAAGCGUGGGGAGCAAACAGG
RNAcentral lists this ribosomal RNA (253 nucleotides) under uncultured bacterium. Its description in RNAcentral is "partial 16S ribosomal RNA". It matches the Rfam family "Bacterial small subunit ribosomal RNA", at positions 524 to 776 of the family's 1533-position model. The record is from RNAcentral.